Molecule: ribosomal RNA, 253 nt
Filed under: uncultured bacterium
Lineage: Bacteria
Description: partial 16S ribosomal RNA
Rfam family: Bacterial small subunit ribosomal RNA
Source: RNAcentral
UACGUAGGUGGCAAGCGUUGUCCGGAUUUAUUGGGUUUAAAGGGUGCGUAGGCGGUCCUAUAAGUCAGUGCUGAAAUAUCCCGGCUUAACCGGGAGGGUGGCAUUGAUACUGUAGGACUUGAGUAAAGUUGAGGUUGGCGGAAUUGACGGUGUAGCGGUGAAAUGCUUAGAUAUCGUCAAGAACACCUAUUGCGAAGGCAGCUAACUACGCUUUAACUGACGCUGAGGCACGAAAGUGUGGGGAUCAAACAGG